GUGGUGGUAAUGCUUGCUUUAGGGGUGACAUACAGGGCACUUGUUGCCAGUAUUAUCCUUGGGAAGGUCUGAGACAUAGGUAAUCAACCCUCUAGAAGGGGGUGCUCCUAAUGGAGGAGUGGGUCAACAGAAACCAGGCUAAGCUGGGAGUUACAGCAUGUGAUGUCUAUAGACUGAUGCAAAGCUUCCAGUUCUAGUUGAAAGAGACCCAUUACCAGCAAAAGUAGUACAAUUUGCAAGAUGGCCCAAGGGCCAUAACUCAAUUCAGACUACUCUAUCACCAU
RNAcentral lists this RNase P RNA (284 nucleotides) under Mytilus galloprovincialis (Mediterranean mussel). RNAcentral describes it as "Nuclear RNase P". It matches the Rfam family "Nuclear RNase P". Rfam says of the family: Ribonuclease P (RNase P) is a ubiquitous endoribonuclease, found in archaea, bacteria and eukarya as well as chloroplasts and mitochondria. Lineage: Eukaryota; Metazoa; Mollusca; Bivalvia; Mytilida; Mytilidae. The record is from Rfam by way of RNAcentral.